AUACUUACAAGGCAGGGGAGAUACCAUGAUCAUGAAGGUGGUUUUCCCAGUACAAGGCUUAUCCAUUUCACUCUGGAUGUACUGACCCAUGUGAUUUUCCCAAAUGUGGGAAACUUGCCUGCAUAAUUUGUGGUAGUGGGGGAUUGUGUUUGCACUCUCCCCUG
This is a small nuclear RNA of Otolemur garnettii (small-eared galago), 164 nucleotides long. Its record names the gene U1. It matches the Rfam family "U1 spliceosomal RNA". Rfam says of the family: U1 is a small nuclear RNA (snRNA) component of the spliceosome (involved in pre-mRNA splicing). The record is from Ensembl. NCBI's taxonomy places the organism in Eukaryota, Metazoa, Chordata, Mammalia, Primates, Galagidae.